GACGAACGCUGGCGGCGUGCUUAACACAUGCAAGUCGAACGGAAAGGCCCUGCUUUUGUGGGGUGCUCGAGUGGCGAACGGGUGAGUAACACGUGAGUAACCUGCCCUUGACUUUGGGAUAACUUCAGGAAACUGGGGCUAAUACCGGAUAGGAGCUCCUGCUGCAUGGUGGGGGUUGGAAAGUUUCGGCGGUUGGGGAUGGACUCGCGGCUUAUCAGCUUGUUGGUGGGGUAGUGGCUUACCAAGGCUUUGACGGGUAGCCGGCCUGAGAGGGUGACCGGCCACAUUGGGACUGAGAUACGGCCCAGACUCCUACGGGAGGCAGCAGUGGGGAAUAUUGCACAAUGGGCGGAAGCCUGAUGCAGCAACGCCGCGUGCGGGAUGACGGCCUUCGGGUUGUAAACCGCUUUCGCCUGUGACGAAGCGUGAGUGACGGUAAUGGGUAAAUAAGCACCGGCUAACUACGUG
This 468-nucleotide ribosomal RNA is filed under the name uncultured bacterium. RNAcentral describes it as "partial 16S ribosomal RNA". It matches the Rfam family "Bacterial small subunit ribosomal RNA", at positions 28 to 507 of the family's 1533-position model. The record is from RNAcentral.